Molecule: long non-coding RNA, 1510 nt
Organism: Bos taurus (domestic cattle)
Lineage: Eukaryota; Metazoa; Chordata; Mammalia; Artiodactyla; Bovidae
Source: Ensembl
CGGGCGUCGUGCGCAGUCGGGCCGGACGCCCGCUGGUGUGGGGGUCAGAGAAAAUUCCCUUUUGAACGGUCGCAGGCGACCUUUGCCCAGUCGUGGCGGCCGGCCUUGGGGUCGCAGGGCCGUGGCGGGCAGGGAGCCAGGUUGGCUGCAGGCACGGCGGGGGCGCUCGCUCCCCGCCUUUUCCCUGUCUCGUUCCCUCCCCCGCGCUCCAGAGCUCCUGACCCCAAAAGGGAGCCGUGAUUCCCAGCAGGAGAGUGACCACUGGCUGGUACAGCAUAUGCAGAACCAGGGCCACACAGAGCAGCAUGGUCAUGAGCAGGCCCCCAAGGACCGCCUCAGCUGUUCUGAACCAAUGCAGGUUGCCAGGACGCAGAUGGCUUCAUGGACCAAACAACACUAGUGAGCAUCUUCAUGAACCAGCCCAUGCCUGGUCACUGUGAAGUUGGGACACAUGAGCUGGCAGAGAUGAACGCUUUCUGCAGUGGACAGCAAUACAGAGAUGGCUAAACGGGCGUUCCUAAAGCCCUGUACUCUGCCGACCAGGUGAUAAACUUCUAAUUCCUGUUCUGAAGCAGCUGCCUGCAAGUUGGAGCUGGAGAAUUUCAGUCAACUUGGCAUUUUGUUCCUUAUCUUUCUACCUCUGUGAGAUCCUGGCUGUCUGCCCCUUGGGGAACAUCAUGAUCCCUUGGACUGGUGGAUGACUGGAGCAAACCUGAGGGGCUUCUAGAAGAAGCUGUCUCUGCUUUCUGAAGCUAACGCCAUGGAGGAGUAUCUCCCUUCCUUUUAAAUAUUAAAUAUUUAAGGUUUGCCAUAUAUAAAUAGACUUUAUUAACAGACUGCCUUUUGAUAUUGAAGAUUAAAGUGCUUAUGAAGUUUGUGGAAGUGUGUGAGUUCACUGGGGACGGUGGAGAAGAGGGUAGGUGGCGGUGGCUAUCAGGUGUUAGAAAGCUUAGCAAACAUACAAGUUUAAGGUGGUCAGGAGAACUUUCUUUAUGGGUCUCCCAGAUCUAAGCCAGGGAACUUUUAUCAGUUCAGUUCAGUCGCUCAGUUGUGUCCACCUCUUUGCGACCCCAUGGACUACAGCACACCAGGCCUCCCUGUCCAUCAUCAACUCCCAGAACUUACUCAAAUUCAUGUCCAUCACGUUGGUGGUGCCAUCCAACCACCUCAUCCUCUGUCGUCCCCUUCUCCUCCUGCCUUCAAUCUUGCAUCAGGGUCUUUUCCAAUGAGUCAGUUCUUCACAUCAGGUGAACAAAGUACUGGAGUUUCAGCUUCAGCAUCAGUCUUUCCAGUGAAUAUUCAGGGCUGAUUUUCUUUAGGAUUGACUGGUUUGAUCUCCUUGCAGUCCAAGGGACUCUCAAGAGUCUUCUCCAACACUGCAGUUCAAAAGCAUCAAUUCUUCAGCACUCAGCUUUCUUUAUAGUCCAACUCUCACAUCCAUACGUGACUACUGGAAAAAACAUAGCUUUAACUAGACUGACCUUUGUUGGUAAAGUAAUGUCUCUGCUUU